Molecule: long non-coding RNA, 174 nt
Filed under: Penaeus japonicus
Lineage: Eukaryota; Metazoa; Arthropoda; Malacostraca; Decapoda; Penaeidae
Description: uncharacterized LOC122263719
Source: RNAcentral
GUUGGGAUAGGUACGGUGUCAACCUUGGUCCAUCAACAGCGCCAUGAAGCUGCUGUGUGUUCAUGUUCUGUGUUUGUUUGUCAUCUGGUCUGGAGUCGGUGGCGAAGCACCCAAAGGAUGUGUCAUCAUAGAAGUCAGAGAGACGACUGUGAAAUUAAAUAAGGAACUUCUAAA